RNAcentral lists this long non-coding RNA (662 nucleotides) under Bos indicus x Bos taurus (hybrid cattle). RNAcentral describes it as "lncRNA (ENSBIXG00005004406.1)". Lineage: Eukaryota; Metazoa; Chordata; Mammalia; Artiodactyla; Bovidae. The record is from RNAcentral.
CAUUUUGUCCGUGUGCCCAAUUUUGGAGCCAGCCCUCUAGGAUCUCCCGGCCAAUCAAGAGACCACACAUUGUUGCCUAAGAGACCCCGGAUGCCAGUGAAAAGAUUUACAGGUAGUGAUUGGCCUACUGGAAGGGGUGGGGGCUAGACGGAGUCACAGAAACAGCUAUGGCAACACCAGCACUAGAGGCUUGAGGAGAAAGACUUGAAGAGAAAGACUUAAAGAGGUAUUUGAAGAAAGAAGAGCUCUGCUUGGAAAAUGGGGGUCCCCAACCUCUGGGCCACAGACCCACUGGUACCUCUCAUCAGAUCAGCAGUGGCAUCACAUUAGAAAUAAAGUGCACAAUAAAUGUAAUGCUGUAGUUUUUCCAGGAGUCAUGUAUGGAUGCGAGAGUUGAACCAGAAAGAAGGCUGAGCGAUGAAGAAUUGAUGCUUUUGAACUGUGGUGUUGGAGAAGACUCUUGAGCAUCCCUUGAACUGCAAGGAGAUCAAACCAGUCAAUCCCAAAGGAAGUCAGUCCUGAUUAUUCAUUGGAAGGACUGAUGCUGAAGCUGAAACUCCAUACUUGGGCCACCGGAUGUGAAGAGCCGACUCAUUAGAAAAGACUGAUGCUGGGAAAGAUUAAAGGCAGGAGGAGAAGGGGACGACAGAGGACCAGAGGGU